RNAcentral lists this non-coding RNA (45 nucleotides) under Schistosoma mansoni. The record is from RNAcentral. Lineage: Eukaryota; Metazoa; Platyhelminthes; Trematoda; Strigeidida; Schistosomatidae.
AGCUAGCUGAUGAGUCUCAAAUAGGACGAAACGUAUGUCCUGGAU